This 459-nucleotide ribosomal RNA is filed under the name uncultured bacterium. RNAcentral describes it as "bacterial SSU rRNA". It matches the Rfam family "Bacterial small subunit ribosomal RNA", at positions 1 to 507 of the family's 1533-position model. The record is from RNAcentral.
AGACGUCUACGAGUUUGAUCCUGCUCAGAACGAACGCUGGCGGCAGGCCUAACACAUGCAAGUCGAACGCCCCGCAAGGGGAGUGGCAGACGGGUGAGUAACGCGUGGGAACCUACCCAGAGGUACGGAAUAACUCAGGGAAACCUGAGCUAAUACCGUAUAAGCCCGAGAGGGGAAAGAUUUAUCGCCUUUGGACGGGCCCGCGUCGGAUUAGCUAGUUGGUGGGGUAACGGCUCACCAAGGCAACGAUCCGUAGCUGGUCUGAGAGGAUGAUCAGCCACACUGGGACUGAGACACGGCCCAGACUCCUACGGGAGGCAGCAGUGGGGAAUAUUGGACAAUGGGCGCAAGCCUGAUCCAGCCAUGCCGCGUGAGUGACGAAGGCCUUAGGGUUGUAAAGCUCUUUCGGCGGGGAAGAUAAUGACGGUACCCGCAGAAGAAGCCCCGGCUAACUUCGUG